GUUUUUCGUCCUCUUGUCUUCUCUUCUCGGUCUGAGCAUGUUGUGUCUCAGAGGUGAAGAGUCCAAUGAAGAACAUUGGAUACCACGAUGAUCUAUUGGUGCCUAAGUGGAUGACACAUGAAAGUAGCAGUAAGGCCUGCCUUUCCCCCCUGAAAGAAUGCUGUGCACAUAACGAUAAAGGAUAGUCUGGAGGUGCAGCAGUGCUGACUUAAUGGUCAUAGUGGGUCAUGACAUGGUACCACAAGCCAUGCUGCCAAUGAGAAAUUGGAUACCGCUGAUCGAUUGGUGUCCUGUCCAUAGCGGAUGUAAUAUUAAAGUAGCAGAAUGAUUGCUGCCUUUCCUCCCUGAAAGAAUGCUGUGCAGUGUGCACAUAAUGAUGGAGCAUAUUCUGGAGGUGUAGCAGUGCUGAUUGGUCAUAGUGGGGGUGACAUGGAGCCACGAGUCAUGGGUUGGCACUUUUUUUUUGUGCCAUUCAUUGACAGAUGGGAGAGGUGCUGAAGAAUGAAUCAACGUUGUGGCCCGUUUCAUUUGAAGAUGCAAGGUGACAGUAAUAACUUGAGCCUUAAUAGAAGAAAGCAGAUCGUUCAGUCACCGUUCCUACCGGUCCUAGACUAAGGCGACAUCUGAUUCUACAUGAAUGCAGCUGCCACUUUAUUAUAAAAAUGUAAACUGCAUUUAAUGGCGAUCACACUAAAACCCUUUUGACUCUGUACCAUAGUGACCUAUAAUAUGCCAUUUAGCAGACGCUUUUAUCCAAAGCGACUUCCAAAGCGACUUACAGUCAUGCGUGCAUACAUUUUAUGUUUUAUUAGUCUUUGAGCCUAUUUCACCAUGUACCCUAUAUUGGUUUUCAAUAAAAAUGCCUACCUUGUAUCACUUUCAAAUAAACUCGAGCUGAUCUCA
Long non-coding RNA from Coregonus clupeaformis (lake whitefish), 903 nucleotides. RefSeq lists it as uncharacterized. The transcript is spliced from 6 exons. The record is from RefSeq and is a predicted model, not a curated record. Lineage: Eukaryota; Metazoa; Chordata; Actinopteri; Salmoniformes; Salmonidae.